GAAUAUUGGACAAUGGGGGGAACCCUGAUCCAGCCAUGCCGCGUGUGUGAAGAAGGCCUUUUGGUUGUAAAGCACUUUAAGCGAGGAGGAGGAGCUCUUGGUUAAUACCCAAGAUGCUUGGACGUUACUCGCAGAAUAAGCACCGGCUCACUCUGUGCCCGCAGCCGCGGUAAUACAGAGGGUGCAAGCGGUAAUCGGAGUUACUGGGGGUAAAGCCGUGGUAGGUGGGCAAUUAAGGUAAAUGGGAAAACCCCCGGGUUAACCUGGGAAAUGCAUUCGGAUCUGGUUGGCUAGGGUAUUGGAGAGGAUUGUAGGAAUCCAGGUGGAGCGGUGAAAAGCGUAGAGAUCUGGAAGAAUACCGGUGGCGAAGGCAACCAUCUUGCCUUAUACUGACACUGGGGUGCGAAAGCAUGGGGAGCGAACA
RNAcentral lists this ribosomal RNA (424 nucleotides) under uncultured bacterium. RNAcentral describes it as "partial 16S ribosomal RNA". It matches the Rfam family "Bacterial small subunit ribosomal RNA", at positions 359 to 774 of the family's 1533-position model. The record is from RNAcentral.